AGCAGUAGGCUACUAAAGCAUCCACUUCCUCUCACAUAUCACGGCAAUAAGGCUGCACAAAUUAAACCAGGUGACAUCCUUUACUGUCAAACUGGGAAAACAACAAAUACAGUGGGAUUAAGAAGGCUAGUCUAAACAUAACUGUUGUGUGCAUGUAAUAAAUCUCUUCUGGUUUUAUGUGUGUUAGGCUACUUAUUAGGUACAGGGCCCUACAGUGUAAUGUAAUACAAGGAUAAGCAGAGCUUUUCACAUCUUGACUUGCAGGCCAGAGUAGCUGGAGAUAUUAGCCUAAAAGUGGGGAUAUUGCCAGCCAAGAAAAUUCUGAGUAGUGCACAGGAGGAAGAGAAGGAGGGAAAUGAAGAAGGAGAAGGCAG
Molecule: long non-coding RNA, 374 nt
Organism: Sander lucioperca (pikeperch)
Lineage: Eukaryota; Metazoa; Chordata; Actinopteri; Perciformes; Percidae
Exons: 3
Source: RefSeq, a predicted model, not a curated record